This is a long non-coding RNA of Neodiprion virginianus, 1416 nucleotides long. RefSeq lists it as uncharacterized. The record is from RefSeq and is a predicted model, not a curated record. The transcript is spliced from 2 exons. NCBI's taxonomy places the organism in Eukaryota, Metazoa, Arthropoda, Insecta, Hymenoptera, Diprionidae.
GUAGUCGCGACUCCGGGCAGUCGUUCAACUCGGGAUUUUCGCUCUCUCCGCGAGCGGCACGCGACGCAUCGUACCCGACCAUCGACGUUUCCCGCGUCUGACGUCAUCAAGCGCCCCUGCUACGUUUGAGAAGGGGAACGUUACCGCCGCUGCUUCGUCACCAUCUCGUUGCGAUAUGUACGUACACUUGGUCGCACCGAUUCUGAGACAACUGAUUUCAUCGACGAGACGGUUACGUUGGCAAUGCCUAAUCAACCCGCAGCGCCAGCGCCGGCCGGCCGCGGAACUGGCUAAAUUAUUUGUGGACAAAACGACAUUCGGGAGAAAUAAAAAACAAAAAAAAAAGGACCUGGACAACUGGAACUACGGAGCGCUAGUCCUGGAAAUUAAGGCUCACGAAGAAAAAGGAGCUAGAGCGCAGAAAAUACGGAGCGGUAGUCCGGGAAGUCAAAAUUUAGCAGGUAGAGGACCUAGAGCGCAGGUAUUACGGAGCGCUAGUCCUGAAAGUCGAGCUUCACCAGGUAAAGGACCUGGACAGCCGGAACUACGGAGCGCUAGUCCUGAAAGUCGUGAUUCAUCAGGUAGCGGGGCUAGAGCGUAGGAUCCAGAAGGUAGAGGACCAACUCAAAAUCUGCGGAGCGCGAUUCUCGUACGUCCUCUCUACUCGGCGUUUAUUUCCGGACUGUCGAAUUCGGCCAACUGAUUUUCAUCGUCAAAAUUCAAAUCUGGACCACCUCGUAACUAGUCAUUCCCUUUACGCGGUUCUCAUUUUCGUAACGCUAGAAUAUUGUUGCCCCCUCGGUAAUGAAAAGUCACUUUGAUACACGAAUGCAAAGGGCACUGUACAUAAUCGACGCGACGUACGAGAUAUAUGUUAUUUCUACUACACAUGUUGACAGAGUAAAAUGAAAAAUGCAAUUCCAGACGGGAAUCCCAGUGUUGCUAACACUCUGAAUUCUCUCCCACUAAGACGACCAAUCAAUUCCACUGAAAAACCACUAAGCUUGCCCCUGGUGGACUGUAUUAAAAAUUUUAUUUCAAUUUAGCGCGCGAAUAUUUGCCUAAAAAUAAUUAUCUUAUUUGUAUGUAUUACAUGAACAUCUAUAAUAGAAUUUGGAUCUAAUUAUUACUUUAUAAUACAUGGUAAUACAACAUUAGCAUUGGACGUCAAUAUACCGUUAAUAAAAUCGAAUAAAAAAAGAAAAAACAAAUAAACUUUACUGUUAUUAGAACACGAAUAUUUAUUAUUGAUAUAAAUUGUAACAUCUAUAAGGAAAAAAGGAAAAAAGAUUUACUUUUAUGCUGUCAUCUGAUGAUUAAGGAAUUAAAACGUGUAAAAACUGAUGACCAACCAUACCACUGACAAAAUCUACUAACCACUAAAAGUGAUUUUUUUCUACCGUCCCAGAAUAAAAA